Molecule: RNase P RNA, 392 nt
Filed under: Acidobacteriota bacterium
Lineage: Bacteria; Pseudomonadati; Acidobacteriota
Description: Acidobacteria bacterium (soil metagenome) RNase P RNA component class A
Rfam family: Bacterial RNase P class A
About the family: Ribonuclease P (RNase P) is a ubiquitous endoribonuclease, found in archaea, bacteria and eukarya as well as chloroplasts and mitochondria. Its best characterised activity is the generation of mature 5'-ends of tRNAs by cleaving the 5'-leader elements of precursor-tRNAs.
Source: RNAcentral
GCAGUGAACCAGGCAACCGCGUCUUCGCAAGGAGACGAGGAAAGUCCGAACUCCGCAGGGCAGUGCGCCGGGUAACGCCCGGUCAGGGUGACCUGAAGGACUAGUGGCACAGAAAACAUACCGCCCGCCGGCGCUCGUGCAAACGAGUGACGGAAGGUAAGGGUGAAAAGGUGCGGUAAGAGCGCACCGCGCCGGCCGUAAGGUCGGUGGCAGGCAAAACCCCGCACGGAGCAAGGCCAAAUAGGGAGAUGUCAGCCGCAAGGCUGGAAAGCACGGCCCGUGCGAGAUCUCCGGGUAGGCUGCUUGAUCCCGGCAGUAAUGCCGGGGCUAGAGGAAUGGUUGUCAUCCGUCGCAAGGCGGAAACAGAAUUCGGCUUACGGUUCACUGCAGCC